Long non-coding RNA from Medicago truncatula (barrel medic), 1628 nucleotides. RefSeq lists it as uncharacterized. NCBI's taxonomy places the organism in Eukaryota, Viridiplantae, Streptophyta, Magnoliopsida, Fabales, Fabaceae. The record is from RefSeq and is a predicted model, not a curated record. The transcript is spliced from 2 exons.
ACCUACUACGGAAGCGAUUAACCUGUCCUGUCAGGGGGUGAAAGGCAACUGGUCAAUGAUCGUUAAGUGAUGACUAGUUGUGCCAACGCCUAUAAUUACGAACACACAUGUAAUUCGUACGACUGGUCCUGCCCUACUUUGGUCUGGGACUAGCUCGUCAAUUUUUGGAAGCUUCUCCUUUUUGGAGAGGCUCUCGAUCAAUACUUUCCAAUUAUUUAUUAUUAAUUUUUAUUUCCUACUAACCUUUUUCUUUUGUGGCAUUUUAUUUAUAAGGCUUAAUACAUCAGUUGGUUUUUAAUUUAUUUUUAGUUUUUAAUUUGGUCUUUUAAUUAUUAAACAUUUCAAAUUGGUCUUUUAUCUUCUUUCUGUCAUUCAAUUUGACCCUAUUUUAUUCAUUUUAACCCUCAAGAAAAUGAGACCGUUGGAUAGAUGAGGUCUAUCAGAUCUAACUGUGUAGCACCAACACAUGAUUUAUUUUACUUUUCGUCAUCUUCUUUCCUCAACUUCAUCUUCAUACAACCUUCAUCAAUCUUCAUCAUCUUCAACUUUUUUUUGUUCUUUCAAAAAUUCAUCAUUUUAAUUUCAACAAAAACUACAAAAUCAAACAUUUAAAUUUAUAAUUAAGACCAUUGUCUUCCUCCUUUUCAGAUAAAAUCCAACGGCUACAAAAUCCUCAUCAAACGAUUCGGAGAAUUCCAUCUUGAACACUCACUGUUACCUAAGUUCUUGUCACUCUAUGCAACAUAGCAUAGCAUUCUCAACCUGAUGUUAAAUCAAAUCAAAGUCACACUAUCUUAUACUCACUGAAAACUGCAUAGUUUCACACAUGGAUCUGGAUUUUCUCAUUCCCGUUCUAAGUCCAUCAUGGAACUCUGUUAGUCCAAACUACUCACAACCCAUUUCUUUAAUUCAAUGAUUUAUUACAAUUCAAUCAUCAAUUUCAUUUCUUUUUGCAUUUUACGAAUCUGGGUCAGGUUGUUUUACUCGUGGGAUUUUUUUACUUACUUGGCCAUUGUUGGAUCCAUUCUCCCUGGAAAACUUGUUCCUGGUGUUGUUCUCUCUGAUUCUACUCGUCUUCAUUAUCGAUGCAAUGGUUUGUUUUCUCUUGUUCUGUUCGUUGGAUUUCUUUGGAUCAGUGCCAAGAUGGAAUUUGUAUUUCCUGCUGUAAGUGUUUGCCUAAUUUGUAUUAAUAAUUCAGUUUGCUUAUCGAAUUGGUGUUAAUUUUAAAUUUAAAUGUUUGAUUUUGUGGUUUUUGUUGAAGUAGAAAUGAUGAAUUUUUUAAAGAACAAAAAAAGUUGAAGAUGAUGAAGAUUGAUGAAUGAUGUAUGAAGAUGAAGAUGAGGGAAGAAGAUGAAGAAAAGUAAAAUAAAUCACGUGUUGGUGAUACACAGUUAGAUCUGAUAGACCUCAUCUAUCCAACGGUCUCCUUUUCUUGAGGGUUAAAAUAAAUAAAAUAGGGCCAAAUUGAAUGAUGAAAAGAAGAUAAAGGACCAAUUUGAAACGUUUAAUAGUUAAGGGACCAAAUUAAAAACUGAAAAUAAGUUAAGGGACCAAAUUGAAAACUGAAAAUAAGUUAAGGGACCAAAUGAUAUAUUAAGCCUAUUUAUAAUAACUUGUUUCAUGCUCUA